UAAUACAGAGGGUGCGAGCGUUAAUCGGAGUUACUGGGCGUAAAGGGCGCGUAGGCGGAUAUAAGAGUGUGAUGUGAAAGCCCCGGGCUUAACCUGGGAAGUGCAUCGCAAACGUUGUAUCUGGAGUAGAUGAGAGGGUGGCGGAAUUUCCGGUGUAGCGGUGAAAUGCGUAGAGAUCGGAAGGAACGUCGAUGGCGAAGGCAGCCACCUGGCAUCAUACUGACGCUGAGGCGCGAAAGCGUGGGUAGCGAACAGGAUUAGAUACCCUGGUAGUCCACGCUGUAAACGAUGAGAACUAGAUGUUGGUUGGGGAACCAAUCGGUAUCGAAGCUAACGCGAUAAGUUCUCCGCCUGGGAAGUACGGCCGCAAGGUUG
RNAcentral lists this ribosomal RNA (375 nucleotides) under uncultured bacterium. RNAcentral describes it as "bacterial SSU rRNA". It matches the Rfam family "Bacterial small subunit ribosomal RNA", at positions 521 to 896 of the family's 1533-position model. The record is from RNAcentral.